Molecule: ribosomal RNA, 443 nt
Filed under: uncultured bacterium
Lineage: Bacteria
Description: partial 16S ribosomal RNA
Rfam family: Bacterial small subunit ribosomal RNA
Source: RNAcentral
CCUACGGGGGGCAGCAGUGGGGGAUAUUGGACAAUGGGGGAAACCCUGAUCCAGCGACGCCGCGUGAGUGAAGAAGUAUUUCGGUAUGUAAAGCUCUGUCAGCAAGGAAGAAAGAAAUGACGGUACCUGACCAAGAAGCCCCGGCUAACUACGUGCCAGCAGCCGCGGUAAUACGUAGGGGGCAAGCGUUAUCCGGAAUUACUGGGUGUAAAGGGAGCGUAGACGGUGAUGCAAGUCUGGAGUGAAAGGCGGGGGCCCAACCCCCGGACUGCUCUGGAAACUGUGUAACUUGAGUGCAGGAGAGGUAGGCGGAAUGCCUAGUGUAGCGGUGAAAUGCGUAGAUAUUAGGAGGAACACCAGUGGCGAAGGCGGCUUACUGGACUGUAACUGACGUUGAGGCACGAAAGCGUGGGUAUCGAACAGGAUUAGAUACCCUAGUAGUC